Monopterus albus (swamp eel) is the source of this 216-nucleotide long non-coding RNA. RefSeq lists it as uncharacterized. The record is from RefSeq and is a predicted model, not a curated record. Lineage: Eukaryota; Metazoa; Chordata; Actinopteri; Synbranchiformes; Synbranchidae. The transcript has 2 exons.
AUCCACCCAGCUUUUCUAUCUGGACUUGCUGCUUGCUGUACUACAAUUUCAAUUUGGAGUACCAAGCUGAAGCUGUAUGCACGAUGGAAUUCAUUCAGAGGCGCUUUAUUAGGAUUUAAUCCUGAGAGGGGCACCAAAGCUGGACUACUCCUUUCAAAGAAGACUGGGAAGGUCACCCACAAAAAAGCGUCGGUCAACCACCGUGUCGCAACUCUU